This 1825-nucleotide long non-coding RNA is filed under the name Salmo salar (Atlantic salmon). RNAcentral describes it as "lncRNA (ENSSSAG00000095879.1)". The record is from RNAcentral. Lineage: Eukaryota; Metazoa; Chordata; Actinopteri; Salmoniformes; Salmonidae.
AUUUUACACCACUGCUACUCUCUGUUGUUAUCAUCUAUGCAUAGUCACUUUAAUAACUCUACCUACAUGUACAUAUUGCCUCAACUAACCGGUGCCCCCGCACAUUGACUCUGUACCGGUACCCCCCUGUAUAUAGUCUCGCUAUUGUUAUUUUACUGCUGCUCUUUAAUUAUUUGUUAUUUUUAUUUCUUACUCUUAUCCAUAUUUUUACUGCGUUGUUGGUUAGGGGCUCGUAAGUAAGCAUUUCACUGUAAGGUCUACACCUGUUGUAUUCGGUGCAUGUUACUAAUACAAUUUGAUUUGAUUUAUGCAUUCGGGCAGAAAGUGUUCUUCUGGCACCACCAAACCCAGAUUCGUCCGUCGGAUUGCCCAAUGGUGAAGCGUGAUUUAUCACUCCAGAGAACGUAUUUCCACUGCUCCAGAGUCCAAUGACGUCAGUAAGAGGAAGGGAGCCGAAUCACCUACACCCAGCCUGUUAUCAAUGAAGAUUGACAAGUCAAUGUUUCAACCACCUGAAUUCAGCAGGGAACCUCUGAGAGGUUUGAGAUGAUGAUGGAGAGUUUUGGUAAUGAGUCUGCUUUAGACCCUCUGGACAUAAAAGGUCGUUGCUGUAAAUGAGAAUGUGUUCUCAGUCAACUUACCUGGUAAAAUAACGGUAAAAUAAAAUAAAAAUAAAUCCAAAUUGGAAGCCAAACUCUCUAUGAAAGGACAUCUACACAGAGCUCUACAUCACAGAAAGUGGAGGGGUUGAUAAUGAACAUGAGGUGAGACUGAUAGAGAUGGCAUCCAAGAUACUCACAACACAAGAGUUAACAAUCAAAUGCAAUGACAUCUUCAAGCCUUUCCCUGCACAACAGAAAUGUGUUUACAAAAGGAAUUGCUGGCAUUGGAAAAACAGUCUCUGUGCAGAAGUUAAUCCUUGACUGAGCAGAGGGAAAGGCCAAUCAGGAUGUUCAUUUCAUGUUUCCUCUUCUUUUCCGUGAUCUUAAUCUGAAAACGGGAAAAUAUAGUCUGAUGCAAUUUCUGUCCUUCUCCUUCCCAGAGCUGAAAGAGAUUGAAAGAAUUGAGUCAAAAUAAAUCAUUUUUGAUGGUCUGGAUGAGUGUCGCCUUCCUCUAGAUUUCCAGAACAACAAGGACCUGUCUGACAUCACAGUGCCAACUUCAGUGGAUGUGCUGCUGACACACCUCAUUAAGGGGAGUUUGCUUCACCCAGCUCUCCUCUGGAUUACCUCCAGACCUGCAGCAGCCAAGCAGAUGUCUUCAAAGUCUGUUGUCCAGGUGACAGAGACUGGAUGACUGUGAACUCACAUAUGGAUCCAGUGAGACUCCUUCCUUAGACUCUGGUCUCAGCUCUGCAGACACCAAACUCCUCCCUGAGAGAGAUGGACCUCAUCUACAAUGAAGUGGAGGACAGAGGAGGGCAUCUGCUCUGUGUUGGACUGACUAGACCAUUCUGCAAAAUACAAAGAUGUCCUACGCCAGCGUGGUCUGACAGAGGGUUGAAGUUCAGAUCUGGCUUUAGUCCUGCGGUCACCCAACUCACAACUGAAACAGCUGGAGCUGAGAGACAACGAUCUGCAGGACUCAAGAGUGGCAUUGCUCUGUUCUGGGCUAAAGGGUCCUAACUGUAGACUACACACACUGGGGGAGAGAUGGUUCCAGUUUGGAUUAGGAGGACCAGACACUGGUCUAUACAAUGAAAACUGUUGACACAGCAGUUGCUGUCUGCUAUGUUUUAUAGAUAUCUUUCAUACAAAACUUACCCAUGUGACCCAUUCUAUGUAUCUGUGAUUCGUCAUGUACGUUGAGAGGGGUGUAUCUUGGC